Molecule: transfer RNA, 67 nt
Filed under: Lamellomphalus manusensis
Lineage: Eukaryota; Metazoa; Mollusca; Gastropoda; Neomphalida; Neomphalidae
Description: tRNA-Met
Source: RNAcentral
GAUAGAAUAAGCUAAGUUUAAGCUACUGGGCUCAUACCCCAGGUAUGAAUUUUAUGUUCUUCUAUCA